UACGUAUGGUCCGAGCGUUGUCCGGAUUCAUUGGGCGUAAAGAGCUCGUAGGCGGUUUCGUAAGUCGGAUGUGAAAACUCAGGGCUCAACCCGGAGACGCCAUCCGAUACUGCGAUGACUGGAGUCUGGUAGGGGAGCACGGAAUUCCUGGUGUAGCGGUGAAAUGCGCAGAUAUCAGGAGGAACACCGGUGGCGAAGGCGGAUCUCUGGGCCUUACCUGACGCUCAGGCGCGAAAGCUAGGGGAGCGAACAGG
RNAcentral lists this ribosomal RNA (254 nucleotides) under uncultured bacterium. RNAcentral's name for it is "partial 16S ribosomal RNA". It matches the Rfam family "Bacterial small subunit ribosomal RNA", at positions 524 to 776 of the family's 1533-position model. The record is from RNAcentral.